RNAcentral lists this unclassified non-coding RNA (603 nucleotides) under Hevea brasiliensis (rubber tree). Lineage: Eukaryota; Viridiplantae; Streptophyta; Magnoliopsida; Malpighiales; Euphorbiaceae. The record is from RNAcentral.
UCUUUCUUUGUUAGAAAUAAAGAAUUGCCCAAAGUUGACUUGGAUGCCAUUUUUUCCAUCACUUGAUGAAAGGCUAUACUAUGUCAAUGCUGGGAUUCAACCACUGCAGCAAACUAUGAAGUUGAAGGUGAUUUCUCCUCAGCAUGAAGAUCCGAAGUUCAACUGUGCUUAUUCCCUCGCAAACCUUCAAGAAUUAUGGAUUUCUAAGUUAACUGAUUUGGAGUAUAUAGAUAGCGAUGAGGAUACUUGCCUAAGUGAAGGAGGAUCGACAGUCUUCCCAUUCCUGAAGAAACUCUGGAUCGACAAUUGUCCUAAUUUUAAGGGAUGGUGGAAGAAGAGAAAUGAGGUUGAUGAUAGGACAACCAUGAUGACAGCAGAGCUGCCCCAUUUUUCUUGUCUGUCUUUGUUGGAAAUAAAGAAUUGCCCUCAGUUGAUUUGCAUGCCACUGUUUCCAUCUCUAGACGAAAGGCUAUAUUAUGUGAAUGCUGGAAUAGAGCCACUGCACCAGACGAUGAAGAUGAGGUCGGCUCAACAUGGAGAAGUGGAGUUCCCAAGUUCAACUUCUUCCCUCAUAAAGCUUAAAGAAUUAUGGAUUUCUGAUUU